AUUCCUCCCAUGUGACCGUCUCACCUCCACGACAUGAAUGUUAUUUAAGGCCUCAUCGGCACUAAUUGUCAUGAAACUGCCCAAUAAAUCGCAGCAGAAACUGCUAGAUGAACUGAUCCGCCGCCGCCUCCUGCAGGUUAAAAACCACCCCGUGCUGCCAUCUAUAUCAAGUAUGCCAGCCUGCUGGCGUCGCGCCCUCUCCCGGUGUUCUCACAUCUGUUUAUGGCCAUUCGAGAUUGAUGUCGCCUCCCAUCGAUGCAUGAUGCCUGCGUGCUGCAAGAUCCAUGCUCCUCCGUCUUCAUACACCCCCUGUGUACCACCAUGAGAGUGCAUCUCCUCCUAAAUCAAGGGCAUCUUAGUAUUCAUGGCUACAUCCAACCACAAGGACAACGAGUUGUAGGCCACCACAUCCUGUUCUGGUACAGACUUAUUUCAUAUGUUUACAUCAUGUACUACUAAAACUAUGACCUAUUGUUUCAGUGCACAUUUGAUUGAUCAAUGUCAGACAGGUUUUUGUCCAUGCAAUGUGCCUCUAAUCGUGCAUGUGGUGGCAACAAGUAUUAUACAUAUGUGUAUUUCCCUUCUUAUCUACUACCGUGUACGUGUAUGUAAAAAGAAAAGGAAAAGUCUGAGAGUAUUUGACAUUUUUCAUAUC
Molecule: long non-coding RNA, 655 nt
Organism: Lolium perenne
Lineage: Eukaryota; Viridiplantae; Streptophyta; Magnoliopsida; Poales; Poaceae
Source: RefSeq, a predicted model, not a curated record